RNAcentral lists this ribosomal RNA (1638 nucleotides) under human gut metagenome. RNAcentral's name for it is "bacterial LSU rRNA". It matches the Rfam family "Bacterial large subunit ribosomal RNA", at positions 331 to 1989 of the family's 2925-position model. The record is from RNAcentral.
AAAUGAAGAGAGUUGGAAAGCUCCGCCAUAGAAGGUAAUAGCCCUGUAGUUGAAACGAGAAAGCUACUAGUAUGAUCCAGAGUACCACGGGACACGUGAAACCCUGUGGGAAGCAGGAGGGACCAUCCUCCAAGCCUAAAUACUACCUAGUGACCGAUAGCGCAUAGUACCGUGAGGGAAAGGUGAAAAGAACCCCGGGAGGGGAGUGAAAUAGAACCUGAAACCCUGCACUUACAAGCUGUGGGAGCACAUUACUUGUGUGACCGCGUACUUUUUGUAGAACGGGCCAACGAGUUACGUUAAGUAGCAAGGUUAAGCACUUAAGGUGUGGAGCCGUAGCGAAAGCGAGUCUUAAAUGGGCGAUUAAGUUACUUGGCGUAGACCCGAAACCGGGCGACCUAUCCAUGAGCAGGUUGAAGCGAAAGUAAAAUUUCGUGGAGGACCGAACCCACGAGCGUUGAAAAGCUCGGGGAUGACUUGUGGAUAGCGGAGAAAUUCCAAUCGAACCCGGAGAUAGCUGGUUCUCCCCGAAAUAGCUUUAGGGCUAGCCUCAAGCGUAGAGAAACGGAGGUAGAGCACUGAAUGUCCUAGGGGGUAUUGCACUUACCGAAGACUAUCAAACUCCGAAUGCCGUUUUCUUUUACUUGGGAGUCAGACUGUGGGUGAUAAGAUUCAUAGUCAAAAGGGCAACAGCCCAGAUCGUCAGCUAAGGUCCCUAAAUGUACGUUAAGUGGUAAAGGAUGUGGGAUUGCACAGACAACCAGGAUGUUGGCUUAGAAGCAGCCACUCAUUUAAAGAGUGCGUAAUAGCUCACUGGUCGAGUGAUCCUGCGCCGAAAAUUUCCGGGGCUAAAACGUACUACCGAAGCUACGGCAUCAUUUAUGAUGGGUAGGGGAGCUUCGUAUGCAGGCUGAAGCAUGACCGUAAGGACAUGUGGACAGUAUACGAGUGAGAAUGUUGGCAUGAGUAGCGAGACGUGGGUGAGAAUCCCACGGGCCGUAAACCCAAGGUUUCCAGGGGAAGGUUCGUCCGCCCUGGGUUAGUCGGGACCUAAGCCGAGGCCGAAAGGCGUAGGUGAUGGACAACAGGUUGAUAUUCCUGUACCGCCAAUAAGCGUUUGAGAGAUGGAGUGACACAGUAGGAUAAGCUAACCGUACUGUUGGUUAUGUACGGCUAAGCAUUGAGGCAGUCUAAAUAGGCAAAUCCGUUUAGACAAUGCUAGGAUGUGAUGGGGAAGCCCUUCGGGGCGAAGUAGCUGAUUUCACACUGUCAAGAAAAGCUUCUAUCGAGUUUAAAGGCGCCCGUACCGUAAACCGACACAGGUGGGUGAGGAGAGUAUCCUAAGGCCAGCGAGAGAACUAUUGUUAAGGAACUCGGCAAAAUGACCCCGUAACUUAGGGAGAAGGGGUGCCUGUCUAUGACAGGCCGCAGAGAAUAGGCCCAAGCGACUGUUUACCAAAAACACAGGUUUCUGCUAAGUCGCAAGACGAUGUAUAGGAGCUGACGCCUGCCCGGUGCUGGAAGGUUAAGGGGAUCUGUUAGAGCAAUCGAAGCAGUGAACUUAAGCCCCAGUAAACGGCGGCCGUAACUAUAACGGUCCUAAGGUAGCGAAAUUCCUUGUCGGGUAAGUUCCGACCC